UUCAAUUCCUUCAUCAAAAGUCAGGGAGAAGAGAAAUACAUGCAAGACACAACUGCAAUAUGAAAAAUCAUUGAAGUACUGACAGGUGGAUUCAGCUGUAUGUAACAGAUUAAUACAACGAAGAAACAUUAGCAGCUGUUUAAUCUAUUCAGAUGGUGGAUUACAAAAACACCACUACCAGAAUGAAGAAAGUUGCUCCUGAGGAAAUGCCUUUAGAGUGUUCUGUCUCACAAAAUCUUGAAGAAAGCUGAACAUGUAACCAAGAAUGG
Long non-coding RNA from Numida meleagris (helmeted guineafowl), 269 nucleotides. RefSeq lists it as uncharacterized. The record is from RefSeq and is a predicted model, not a curated record. Lineage: Eukaryota; Metazoa; Chordata; Aves; Galliformes; Numididae. The transcript has 3 exons.